RNAcentral lists this ribosomal RNA (546 nucleotides) under uncultured bacterium. RNAcentral describes it as "bacterial SSU rRNA". It matches the Rfam family "Bacterial small subunit ribosomal RNA", at positions 830 to 1380 of the family's 1533-position model. The record is from RNAcentral.
CCUUCGGGCCUUGGUAGCGCAGCUAACGCGUGAAGUUGACCGCCUGGGGAGUACGGUCGCAAGAUUAAAACUCAAAGGAAUUGACGGGGACCCGCACAAGCGGUGGAUGAUGUGGAUUAAUUCGAUGCAACGCGAAAAACCUUACCUACCCUUGACAUGUCUGGAAUGCCGAAGAGAUUUGGCAGUGCUCGCAAGAGAACCGGAACACAGGUGCUGCAUGGCUGUCGUCAGCUCGUGUCGUGAGAUGUUGGGUUAAGUCCCGCAACGAGCGCAACCCUUGUCAUUAGUUGCUACGAAAGGGCACUCUAAUGAGACUGCCGGUGACAAACCGGAGGAAGGUGGGGAUGACGUCAAGUCCUCAUGGCCCUUAUGGGUAGGGCUUCACACGUCAUACAAUGGUCGGGACAGAGGGUCGCCAACCCGCGAGGGGGAGCCAAUCCCAGAAACCCGAUCGUAGUCCGGAUCGCAGUCUGCAACUCGACUGCGUGAAGUCGGAAUCGCUAGUAAUCGCGGAUCAGCAUGUCGCGGUGAAUACGUUCCCGGGUC